CAGUCGCCACGGUAAUACGUAGGUCCCGAGCGUUGUCCGGGUUUAUUGGGCGUAAAGCGAGCGCAGGCGGUUAGAAAAGUCUGAAGUGAAAGGCAGUGGCUCAACCAUUGUAGGCUUUGGAAACUGUUUAACUUGAGUGCAGAAGGGGAGAGUGGAAUUCCAUGUGUAGCGGUGAAAUGCGUAGAUAUAUGGAGGAACACCGGUGGCGAAAGCGGCUCUCUGGUCUGUAACUGACGCUGAGGCUCGAAAGCGUGGGGAGCGAACAGGAUUAGAUACCCGCGUAGUCCCUGUCUCUUAUACA
This 301-nucleotide ribosomal RNA is filed under the name uncultured bacterium. RNAcentral describes it as "partial 16S ribosomal RNA". It matches the Rfam family "Bacterial small subunit ribosomal RNA", at positions 509 to 808 of the family's 1533-position model. The record is from RNAcentral.